CAGCAGCCGCCGCGUAAUUCCAGCUCUGUAAGCGUAUACCAAAGUUGUUGCAGUUAAAACGCUCGUAGUCGGACUUUGGCGGGCGACCAGGGGCGUCUUCACGGACGUGUUUUGGUUGGCCGCCUUUGUGGAGGGGGGCCCAGUGGUGCUUCACUGCGCUACUGUGGUCGCUGCCACCUUUUACUGUGAAAAAAUUAGAGUGUUCAAAGCGGGCGUUUGCCAUGAAUACAUUAGCAUGGAAUAAUAGAAUAGGACCUGUCUCCUGUUUUGUUGGUUUGUGAGGAUCGGGUAAUGAUUAAGAGGGACGGUUGGGGGCAUUUGUAUUCCGGCGUCAGAGGUGAAAUUCUUGGAUUGUCGGAAGACAAACGGCUGCGAAAGCGUCUGCCAAGGACGUUUUCAUUGAUCAAGAACGAAAGUAAGGGGAUCGAAGACGAUCAGAUACCGUCGUAGUCUUUACUAUAAACGAUGAGGACUGGGGAUCGGGCAGGACUGACUUUUGGCCUGCCCGGCACCCUUCGGGAAACCAAAGUGUUUGCUUUCUGGGGGGAGUAUGGUCGCAAGGCUGAAACUUAAAGGAAUUGACGGAAGGGCAUCACCGGGUGUGGAGCCUGCGGCUUAAUUUGACUCAACACGGG
RNAcentral lists this ribosomal RNA (635 nucleotides) under Hypnea sp. asiatica. RNAcentral describes it as "SSU rRNA". It matches the Rfam family "Eukaryotic small subunit ribosomal RNA", at positions 568 to 1209 of the family's 1831-position model. The record is from RNAcentral. Lineage: Eukaryota; Rhodophyta; Florideophyceae; Gigartinales; Hypneaceae.